UCCCAGACUCCUACGGGAGGCAGCAGUGGGGAAUAUUGCACAAUGGGGGAAACCCUGAUGCAGCGACGCCGCGUGAGCGAUGAAGUCUUUCGGUAUGUAAAGCUCUAUCAGCAGGGAAGAAGAUGACGGUACCUGACUAAGAAGCCCCGGCUAACUACGUGCCAGCAGCCGCGGUAAUACGUAGGGGGCAAGCGUUAUCCGGAUUUACUGGGUGUAAAGGGAGCGUAGACGGCGAUGCAAGCCAGAUGUGAAAGCCCGGGGCUCAACCCCGGGACUGCAUUUGGAACUGUGUGGCUGGAGUGUCGGAGGGGCAGGCGGAAUUCCUGGUGUAGCGGUGAAAUGCGUAGAUAUCAGGAGGAACACCGGUGGCGAAGGCGGCCUGCUGGACUGCGACUGACGUUGAGGCCCGAAAGCGUGGGGAGCAAACAGGAUUAGAUACCCCAGUA
This 446-nucleotide ribosomal RNA is filed under the name uncultured bacterium. RNAcentral's name for it is "partial 16S ribosomal RNA". It matches the Rfam family "Bacterial small subunit ribosomal RNA", at positions 329 to 792 of the family's 1533-position model. The record is from RNAcentral.